This 422-nucleotide ribosomal RNA is filed under the name uncultured bacterium. RNAcentral's name for it is "bacterial SSU rRNA". It matches the Rfam family "Bacterial small subunit ribosomal RNA", at positions 362 to 775 of the family's 1533-position model. The record is from RNAcentral.
UCUUCCGCAAUGGACGAAAGUCUGACGGAGCAACGCCGCGUGAGUGAUGAAGGUUUUCGGAUCGUAAAGCUCUGUUGUUAGGGAAGAACAAGUGCCGUUCAAAUAGGGCGGCACCUUGACGGUACCUAAUCAGAAAGACACGGCUGACUACGUGCCCGCUGCCGCGGUCAUACGUAGGUGGCAAGCGUUGUCCGGAAUUAUUGGGCGUAAAGGGCUCGCAGGCGGUUUCUUAAGUCUGAUGUGAAAGCCCCCGGCUCAACCGGGGAGGGUCGUUGGAAACUGGGGAACUUGAGUGCAGAAGAGGAGAGUGGAAUUCCACGUGUAGCGGUGAAAUGCGUAGAGAUGUGGAGGAACACCAGUGGCGAAGGCGACUCUCUGGUCUGUAACUGACGCUGAGGAGCGAAAGCGUGGGGAGCGAACAG